UUCACCAUGGCUGUGAAAAAGGAAGCUCUUUUAAGGUGUUGGAUAAUCUUGGCCUCGUGUUUAUAUACGUUAUCUUCUUCUCCAUACCAAUAGGGGUGGGCACUUCGGUUAUUUUAUCGGUUCGGUUCGAGUUCGGUUCGGUUUGGUUAGUUCGGUUCUAGAAUUUUUCCAGCUGAAGUAAACCAUAGUUAGUUUGGUUUGGAUUGAUUUCGGUUCAGUUAUGUUCGGUUCGGUUUAUAUUCGGUUCGGUUUGUAUUCGAUUCAGUUUGUAUUUCGGUUCGAUUCGGUUUAAUCAGAUAUCUCUUAGUUUAUUUAUUGUACAAGAAAUCAUGUUUUAAUACAUAAAUGUAUGAUUGUCAUGAAAUAAUUGCGUUGGUCAUAAUAAAAAAUUAAGUAUGUAAAUUAAAUUCAAUAUUAAACCAAAUAAAAAUCUUUUUAAAAGUUACAAAUAUAGUUUAUAACUUUAUAACAAUUAACAUGGAAAUUAUGUGGGCUUAAUGACAAAUAUUACAAAAGUUAGACGAAGUGUCAUGGAAAUCAAAUUAUAUUAGGAUUUCUUUCGUGCAAAAGGAAAUUACUUGGGCUAAGUCUUAGGAUUUUAAUAUCUUGAUAUCACUAAUAUUUUUAAUUUAAAUAACUAUAAAAACACUUCGGUUUAUCAGUUCGGUUCAGUUUAAACCGAACUGAACUGAACCAUUCGGGUUGGAAAAAUCUUCAACCGAAUGAUUUGAAAUGGACUUUGGUUUGGUUCAAAUCGGUUUCGGUUCAGUCGGUUCGGUUCGAUCGGUUCGGUUCGGAUUUUUUGCCUACAUACCAAGCUUUCUUUAAAACAACAACAACAAAAAAUAAUGGUUUUUUUUUCUCUUUACUACUAGACUGCUAGUUACUUGUUAGGAACAAAAACAAUAUCCAAUGACCAUUGCGCAAAGCCCAACAACUAGAAUUGCCCAAAGGGGAAAAUAUUUCUUUUCAGUAAAACUCAUAUUGGGUUUCGUUAUUGUGCCACUAUGACCGCUACGUUAACCCCAACAACUCGACGUUACAUAAUCAUGACAUUCAAAGGUAUAUUCACAAGUAUUGAAAAAAAUCGUAGAACAAAGGGUGAAUACUUCGAAGUAGCGGUUUUUUAAAAUUACUUUUUAAAAGAUUUUUUUCACAAUUUUUUCAAAAUUCACAAUUUUGUGGUUUUUUAAAGAUUUUUUUCAGUUUUAUAUUUGAUUAAAUUUACUUUUUUUAUUUUUAAAAAGCAUUAUUAAUGACUUUCUUUUUAAUUUUCUAUUUACUUUAUUAACUUUGAUUUGAUCAUGUUCCGACAAUUUUUUUGUGUGUUUUUGAGGUUUUUAUUUCAAAAUUUUGCUGGAUUUAGUUUAUAUAGUUUUUUUAAUAUUCACCAACAUGACAAUUUCAUGACCAUGUGUUUUAAUAUAUUAUUUCUUUUAAAAGAAUUAAACUAAGAGAAUCCGAUUAAACUGAACCGAAACACAAA
This 1486-nucleotide long non-coding RNA is filed under the name Brassica rapa (field mustard). RNAcentral's name for it is "long non-coding RNA (BRAP_LNC002665)". The record is from RNAcentral. Lineage: Eukaryota; Viridiplantae; Streptophyta; Magnoliopsida; Brassicales; Brassicaceae.